AGGGCCAUAUCACGUUGAAACACCGGUUCCCGUAGGAUCACCGAAGUUAAACAACGCCAUGCCUUGUCAGUACCUAGAUGGGUGACCGCUUGUUUAUACCAUGUGCUGA
Acanthosepion pharaonis is the source of this 109-nucleotide non-coding RNA. The record is from the annotation of a GenBank genome assembly. NCBI's taxonomy places the organism in Eukaryota, Metazoa, Mollusca, Cephalopoda, Sepiida, Sepiidae.